GAUGAACGCUGGCGGCGUGCUUAACACAUGCAAGUCGAACGGAAAGGCCCUGAGUUUGUGGGGUGCUCGAGUGGCGAACGGGUGAGUAUCACGUGUGUAUCCUGCCCUUGUCUUUGGGUUAACUUCAGGUAACUGGGGCUAAUACCGGAUAGGAUCUCCUGCUGCAUGGUGGGGGUUGGAAAGUGUCGGCGGUUGGGGAUGGACUCGCGGCUUACCAGCUUGUUGGUGGGGUAGUGGCUUACCAAGGCUUUGACGGGUAGCCGGCCUGGGAGGGUGACCGGCCACAAGGGGACUGAGAUACGGCCCAGACGCCUACGGGAGGCAGCAGGCGGGAGUAUUGCACAAUGGGCGGAAGCCUGAUGCAGCAGCCCCGCGUGCGGAAUGACGGCCUUCGGGUUAUAAACCGCUUUCGCCUGUGACGAAGCGUGAGUGACGGUAAUAGGUAAAGAAGCACCGGCUAACUACGUG
This 468-nucleotide ribosomal RNA is filed under the name uncultured bacterium. RNAcentral's name for it is "partial 16S ribosomal RNA". It matches the Rfam family "Bacterial small subunit ribosomal RNA", at positions 28 to 507 of the family's 1533-position model. The record is from RNAcentral.